RNAcentral lists this ribosomal RNA (292 nucleotides) under uncultured bacterium. Its description in RNAcentral is "partial 16S ribosomal RNA". The record is from RNAcentral.
GGACUACCCGGGUUUCUAAUCCUGUUUGCUCCCCUUGCUCUCGCGCCUCAGCGUCAGGGAUUAACUAGAAAACCGCUUUCGCCACCGGUGUUCUUCCACAUAUCUACGCAUUUCACCGCUACACGUGGAAUUCCGUUUUCUCCGUCAACCCUCUAGAAAGGGAGUUUCAAAUGCAGCUCCGAAGUUGAGCUUCGGAAUUUCACAUCUGACUUCCCUCUCCGCCUACGCGCCCUUUACGCCCAAUAAUUCCGAUUAAUGCUUGCACUCUCCGUAUUACCGCGGCUGCUGGCAC